Molecule: transfer RNA, 66 nt
Filed under: Xenopus tropicalis (tropical clawed frog)
Lineage: Eukaryota; Metazoa; Chordata; Amphibia; Anura; Pipidae
Description: Xenopus (Silurana) tropicalis (western clawed frog) tRNA
Rfam family: tRNA
About the family: Transfer RNA (tRNA) molecules are approximately 80 nucleotides in length.
Source: Rfam by way of RNAcentral
GGGGAUGUAGCUCAGUGGUAGAGUGCAUGCUUUGCAUGUAUGCAUGUUCAAUUCUCGGCAUCUCCA